This 471-nucleotide ribosomal RNA is filed under the name Enterobacter hormaechei subsp. steigerwaltii. Its description in RNAcentral is "partial 23S ribosomal RNA". It matches the Rfam family "Bacterial large subunit ribosomal RNA", at positions 2259 to 2729 of the family's 2925-position model. Lineage: Bacteria; Pseudomonadati; Pseudomonadota; Gammaproteobacteria; Enterobacterales; Enterobacteriaceae. The record is from RNAcentral.
UGGUGGGUAGUUUGACUGGGGCGGUCUCCUCCCAAAGAGUAACGGAGGAGCACGAAGGUUGGCUAAUCCUGGUCGGACAUCAGGAGGUUAGUGCAAUGGCAUAAGCCAGCUUGACUGCGAGCGUGACGGCGCGAGCAGGUGCGAAAGCAGGUCAUAGUGAUCCGGUGGUUCUGAAUGGAAGGGCCAUCGCUCAACGGAUAAAAGGUACUCCGGGGAUAACAGGCUGAUACCGCCCAAGAGUUCAUAUCGACGGCGGUGUUUGGCACCUCGAUGUCGGCUCAUCACAUCCUGGGGCUGAAGUAGGUCCCAAGGGUAUGGCUGUUCGCCAUUUAAAGUGGUACGCGAGCUGGGUUUAGAACGUCGUGAGACAGUUCGGUCCCUAUCUGCCGUGGGCGCUGGAGAAUUGAGGGGGGCUGCUCCUAGUACGAGAGGACCGGAGUGGACGCAUCACUGGUGUUCGGGUUGUCAUGC